GGAGAUGGAGCUCAGUGCUAGAGCACACACUUCACAUACUGAUGCCCUGGGUUCACGCCCCAGCAUCCCCU
Molecule: transfer RNA, 71 nt
Filed under: Erinaceus europaeus (western European hedgehog)
Lineage: Eukaryota; Metazoa; Chordata; Mammalia; Eulipotyphla; Erinaceidae
Rfam family: tRNA
About the family: Transfer RNA (tRNA) molecules are approximately 80 nucleotides in length. Their secondary structure includes four short double-helical elements and three loops (D, anti-codon, and T loops).
Source: Rfam by way of RNAcentral